This is a long non-coding RNA of Rosa chinensis, 1147 nucleotides long. RefSeq lists it as uncharacterized. NCBI's taxonomy places the organism in Eukaryota, Viridiplantae, Streptophyta, Magnoliopsida, Rosales, Rosaceae. The transcript is spliced from 3 exons. The record is from RefSeq and is a predicted model, not a curated record.
GUAGUUUUGUCUGCCACAGCAUUGUAAAGUAUCGACCGACACUCUCCCUCACUCACACUCUCCCUCUCUCUUUCGUCCGAGAACACGAAAACGAGAGCAAAAGCUCUCCUAUCCUUUCCUUCCUCCACCAGUGAUCAAUCGACGCCAAACAACCUUCUGUGGCUUCGUCUCAGCCUUGCGAAGCUACCUGCGGCGGUCUUGGUCACGGCACAGCCGGAAGCAGCGGUGAAGAGGUCGGAUGCGUCCAGCCCCGAUUUGGAUUCCAACCAUGGUAGCUCGAACUACCGAUCACGAGACCUUCUCAAACUCCAUCCACAGGUUCGUAUCAACCAUCUGAAACUCCCAGAAGCACCAUUUCACGGCGGCGCUGUCGCUGGAGGCGGCUGGAGCUCACAACCCCGAUCGGAGCGAACAACGGAGCAAAGGAUCCUGAUAUCUCGAGCUACAGGAUGUCGUUUUGAGUGUUUCUUGGACUGGGGAACUCAGAGUGAGGAGAUGAAAAACUUUAUAGAAGGGAUCGAGGCCUGAAAUUGAAUUUUUUAGGUCGGAAUUCAAGCUCGCCAGAUUCUGGAAAUUUUCCGGCCACCGAAGCUUUCGAUCGUGAUAUCUCGAGCUGUAGAGCUUCGUUUUGAGUGAUUCUUGAACCAGUGAGUUCACCUUUAUGUUAUUAACAACUGUCCAGAAGGAAUUGAGGCCAAAAGAUGAAGUUUUUACGUGGGAAAAGAGGUUGGACGGUUUCUGCAAAUUUCGCCGGUUUCUGGAAAUUUUCCGGCCAUCACGACUGUUUUAGGUGAUUGACGGUCUUCCUUGGGUGAGCGGUUUCGGUGUGUAUUGUGUUGAAGUGAAGACGCAGCGGGACUAGAGCGGGUAAUCCUGUAGGUCAGGAGAAUCAGGGCGGUGAUCGUGCGGGUUAGAGCAUUUGUUAUAAUUUUACAGCAAUUGUAAUAGUGAGGUGAGUUAAGCUCAUUUGAGCCUUGCAAUUUGAUUUAGUGAGAGUGUGCUGUAAUAAAUAACUUGAGAAUGUGGUUUAUUGUAUUAUUGAGAGGUGUGAAGUGUGGUUGUUUUUGAGAAAAAAAUUCAGGACGUUGGUUUGUAAUAGUUAUUAUUCAUGUUUCGGAUUUGAAUUGUUUAUUCAAAAUUCGGGGCG